RNAcentral lists this ribosomal RNA (401 nucleotides) under Paracaprella pusilla. RNAcentral describes it as "partial large subunit ribosomal RNA". Lineage: Eukaryota; Metazoa; Arthropoda; Malacostraca; Amphipoda; Caprellidae. The record is from RNAcentral.
GUAGCAUAAUAAUUUGUUUUUUAAAUGGAAACUGGAAUGAAAGGUUUUAACAUAGAUAUUUUUUCUUAUUUUUAAAUAUUUAAUUUAGGGUAAAAGUUAAAACACUUUUAUAUUUUAAAAAGACGAUAAGACCCUAAAAGCUUUAAUAUUAUUUUGUUGUUUAUAUAUAAAUUAGUUUUAUUAUUUUAACUGGGGUAGUGAUUUGUUUUAAAUAUAGUUUUAAUCAACUUUUAGGUAUUUUACCCUUUUUAUGAAGGUUUGUUUAAGUUACUUUAGGGAUAACAGCAUUAUUGGGUUUUAGAGACCUUAUUAAAAACUCAGUUAGUGACCUCGAUGUUGAAUUAAUAUAACUAUUUGGUGCAGCGGCCUUAAGAGUAAGUUUGUUCAACUUUUAAUUUAUU